AUGCAGCUCUCCAGUCUGCUCUGGGUGCUCCUGGCCUUCACCUUCUCUGGAUCUUGUGUGGCCCAGAAAGUUACUCAAGACCAGUCAGAUGUAUCCAGCCAAGUGGGGCAGUCAGUCACCCUGAAUUGUCGGUAUGAAACAAGUUGGAGCGCUUACUACCUUUAUUGGUACAAGCAACUUCCCAGUGGACAGAUGACUUACAUUAUUCAUCAGGGUUCAGAAGUGAUAAAUGCAAGGGAAGACCGCUACUCUGUAAACUUUAAGAAAGCAGAUAAAUCCAUCAGCCUCACCAUUUCAGCCUUACAACUGGAAGACUCUGCAAAGUACUUCUGUGCUCUCCGUGACACACAGUGCUUGAAGCAAUAG
This is a non-coding RNA of Budorcas taxicolor (takin), 366 nucleotides long. The record is from the annotation of a RefSeq genome assembly. NCBI's taxonomy places the organism in Eukaryota, Metazoa, Chordata, Mammalia, Artiodactyla, Bovidae.